This is a long non-coding RNA of Oncorhynchus tshawytscha (Chinook salmon), 357 nucleotides long. The record is from Ensembl. Lineage: Eukaryota; Metazoa; Chordata; Actinopteri; Salmoniformes; Salmonidae.
CUUGGAUGUACACAAAUAGCUAACUUUAAUAAUAUGCAUGUCAAUCUGUCCUGGCUGAAAGUGGAGGAGAGAUUGACUUGAUCACUACUUGUAUUUGUGAGAGGUAUUGACAUGUUGAAUGUACCAAACUCUCUGUUUAAACUGCUGGCACACAGAUCAGACACCCCUGCAUACCCCCCAAGACAUGCCACCAGAGGUCUGUUUAAACUACUGGCGCACAGCUAAGACACCCAUGCAUACCCCACAAGACAUGCCACCAGAGGUCUGUUUAAACUACUGGCGCACAGCUAAGACACCCAUGCAUACCCCACAAGACAUGCCACCAGAGGUCUGUUUAAACUACUGGCGCACAGCUAA